UGCGCACCUCGGAGUAGCGCACCUCGAUGCGCACGAAGGGAUCAGGGGUUCCAAAUCCCCUCAGCUCCACCA
Molecule: transfer RNA, 72 nt
Filed under: Actinoplanes sp. SE50/110
Lineage: Bacteria; Bacillati; Actinomycetota; Actinomycetes; Micromonosporales; Micromonosporaceae
Description: tRNA-Arg (GCG) (tRNA-Arg-GCG-1-1)
Source: RNAcentral